UGGGGAAUUUUGGACAAUGGGGGCAACCCUGAUCCAGCAAUGCCGCGUGUGUGAAGAAGGCCUUCGGGUUGUAAAGCACUUUUGUCCGGAAAGAAAUCGCCCUGGCUAAUAUCCGGGGUGGAUGACGGUACUGGAAGAAUAAGCACCGGCUAACUACGUGCCAGCAGCCGCGGUAAUACGUAGGGUGCGAGCGUUAAUCGGAAUUACUGGGCGUAAAGCGUGCGCAGGCGGUUGUGCAAGACAGAUGUGAAAUCCCCCGGGGCUUAACCUGGGAAUGGCAUUUGUGACUGCACGGCUAGAGUGUGUCAGAGGGGGGUUAGAAUUCCACGUGUAGCAGUGAAAUGCGUAGAUAUGUGGAGGAACACCGAUGGCGAAGGCAGCCCCCUGGGAUAACACUGACGCUCAUGCACGAAAGCGUGGGGGAGCAAACAGGAUUAGAUACCCUGGUAGUCCACGCCCUAAACGAUGUCAACUAGUUGUCGGGUCUUAAUUGACUUGGU
Molecule: ribosomal RNA, 500 nt
Filed under: uncultured bacterium
Lineage: Bacteria
Description: partial 16S ribosomal RNA
Rfam family: Bacterial small subunit ribosomal RNA
Source: RNAcentral